RNAcentral lists this ribosomal RNA (2918 nucleotides) under Staphylococcus aureus. RNAcentral's name for it is "bacterial LSU rRNA". It matches the Rfam family "Bacterial large subunit ribosomal RNA". Lineage: Bacteria; Bacillati; Bacillota; Bacilli; Caryophanales; Staphylococcaceae. The record is from RNAcentral.
UUAAGUUAUUAAGGGCGCACGGUGGAUGCCUUGGCACUAGAAGCCGAUGAAGGACGUUACUAACGACGAUAUGCUUUGGGGAGCUGUAAGUAAGCUUUGAUCCAGAGAUUUCCGAAUGGGGAAACCCAGCAUGAGUUAUGUCAUGUUAUCGAUAUGUGAAUACAUAGCAUAUCAGAAGGCACACCCGGAGAACUGAAACAUCUUAGUACCCGGAGGAAGAGAAAGAAAAUUCGAUUCCCUUAGUAGCGGCGAGCGAAACGGGAAGAGCCCAAACCAACAAGCUUGCUUGUUGGGGUUGUAGGACACUCUAUACGGAGUUACAAAGGACGACAUUAGACGAAUCAUCUGGAAAGAUGAAUCAAAGAAGGUAAUAAUCCUGUAGUCGAAAAUGUUGUCUCUCUUGAGUGGAUCCUGAGUACGACGGAGCACGUGAAAUUCCGUCGGAAUCUGGGAGGACCAUCUCCUAAGGCUAAAUACUCUCUAGUGACCGAUAGUGAACCAGUACCGUGAGGGAAAGGUGAAAAGCACCCCGGAAGGGGAGUGAAAUAGAACCUGAAACCGUGUGCUUACAAGUAGUCAGAGCCCGUUAAUGGGUGAUGGCGUGCCUUUUGUAGAAUGAACCGGCGAGUUACGAUUUGAUGCAAGGUUAAGCAGUAAAUGUGGAGCCGUAGCGAAAGCGAGUCUGAAUAGGGCGUUUAGUAUUUGGUCGUAGACCCGAAACCAGGUGAUCUACCCUUGGUCAGGUUGAAGUUCAGGUAACACUGAAUGGAGGACCGAACCGACUUACGUUGAAAAGUGAGCGGAUGAACUGAGGGUAGCGGAGAAAUUCCAAUCGAACCUGGAGAUAGCUGGUUCUCUCCGAAAUAGCUUUAGGGCUAGCCUCAAGUGAUGAUUAUUGGAGGUAGAGCACUGUUUGGACGAGGGGCCCCUCUCGGGUUACCGAAUUCAGACAAACUCCGAAUGCCAAUUAAUUUAACUUGGGAGUCAGAACAUGGGUGAUAAGGUCCGUGUUCGAAAGGGAAACAGCCCAGACCACCAGCUAAGGUCCCAAAAUAUAUGUUAAGUGGAAAAGGAUGUGGCGUUGCCCAGACAACUAGGAUGUUGGCUUAGAAGCAGCCAUCAUUUAAAGAGUGCGUAAUAGCUCACUAGUCGAGUGACACUGCGCCGAAAAUGUACCGGGGCUAAACAUAUUACCGAAGCUGUGGAUUGUCCUUUGGACAAUGGUAGGAGAGCGUUCUAAGGGCGUUGAAGCAUGAUCGUAAGGACAUGUGGAGCGCUUAGAAGUGAGAAUGCCGGUGUGAGUAGCGAAAGACGGGUGAGAAUCCCGUCCACCGAUUGACUAAGGUUUCCAGAGGAAGGCUCGUCCGCUCUGGGUUAGUCGGGUCCUAAGCUGAGGCCGACAGGCGUAGGCGAUGGAUAACAGGUUGAUAUUCCUGUACCACCUAUAAUCGUUUUAAUCGAUGGGGGACGCAGUAGGAUAGGCGAAGCGUGCGAUUGGAUUGCACGUCUAAGCAGUAAGGCUGAGUAUUAGGCAAAUCCGGUACUCGUUAAGGCUGAGCUGUGAUGGGGAGAAGACAUUGUGUCUUCGAGUCGUUGAUUUCACACUGCCGAGAAAAGCCUCUAGAUAGAAAAUAGGUGCCCGUACCGCAAACCGACACAGGUAGUCAAGAUGAGAAUUCUAAGGUGAGCGAGCGAACUCUCGUUAAGGAACUCGGCAAAAUGACCCCGUAACUUCGGGAGAAGGGGUGCUCUUUAGGGUUAACGCCCAGAAGAGCCGCAGUGAAUAGGCCCAAGCGACUGUUUAUCAAAACACAGGUCUCUGCUAAACCGUAAGGUGAUGUAUAGGGGCUGACGCCUGCCCGGUGCUGGAAGGUUAAGAGGAGUGGUUAGCUUCUGCGAAGCUACGAAUCGAAGCCCCAGUAAACGGCGGCCGUAACUAUAACGGUCCUAAGGUAGCGAAAUUCCUUGUCGGGUAAGUUCCGACCCGCACGAAAGGCGUAACGAUUUGGGCACUGUCUCAACGAGAGACUCGGUGAAAUCAUAGUACCUGUGAAGAUGCAGGUUACCCGCGACAGGACGGAAAGACCCCGUGGAGCUUUACUGUAGCCUGAUAUUGAAAUUCGGCACAGCUUGUACAGGAUAGGUAGGAGCCUUUGAAACGUGAGCGCUAGCUUACGUGGAGGCGCUGGUGGGAUACUACCCUAGCUGUGUUGGCUUUCUAACCCGCACCACUUAUCGUGGUGGGAGACAGUGUCAGGCGGGCAGUUUGACUGGGGCGGUCGCCUCCUAAAAGGUAACGGAGGCGCUCAAAGGUUCCUCAGAAUGGUUGGAAAUCAUUCAUAGAGUGUAAAGGCAUAAGGGAGCUUGACUGCGAGACCUACAAGUCGAGCAGGGUCGAAAGACGGACUUAGUGAUCCGGUGGUUCCGCAUGGAAGGGCCAUCGCUCAACGGAUAAAAGCUACCCCGGGGAUAACAGGCUUAUCUCCCCCAAGAGUUCACAUCGACGGGGAGGUUUGGCACCUCGAUGUCGGCUCAUCGCAUCCUGGGGCUGUAGUCGGUCCCAAGGGUUGGGCUGUUCGCCCAUUAAAGCGGUACGCGAGCUGGGUUCAGAACGUCGUGAGACAGUUCGGUCCCUAUCCGUCGUGGGCGUAGGAAAUUUGAGAGGAGCUGUCCUUAGUACGAGAGGACCGGGAUGGACAUACCUCUGGUGUACCAGUUGUCGUGCCAACGGCAUAGCUGGGUAGCUAUGUGUGGACGGGAUAAGUGCUGAAAGCAUCUAAGCAUGAAGCCCCCCUCAAGAUGAGAUUUCCCAACUUCGGUUAUAAGAUCCCUCAAAGAUGAUGAGGUUAAUAGGUUCGAGGUGGAAGCAUGGUGACAUGUGGAGCUGACGAAUACUAAUCGAUCGAAGACUUAAUCAA